This 84-nucleotide unclassified non-coding RNA is filed under the name Yersinia enterocolitica (type O:9) str. YE212/02. Lineage: Bacteria; Pseudomonadati; Pseudomonadota; Gammaproteobacteria; Enterobacterales; Yersiniaceae. RNAcentral also lists the same sequence under 1 other name. The record is from RNAcentral.
UGUUGGGAGUGUUAGAAAUUCUGUGUCAUUCCUUUUUUGAUUAUAUAUUACUGGAAUGACACAGAAUUUCUAACACUCCCGCUA